AUAUAUAUCAUAAAUUGGCACAGUUUGUAUACACAAUAUAUAUCAUAAUUUGGCAGUUUGUAUACACAAUAUAUAUCAUAAUUUGGCACAGAUGACACAAUUCAUAGCACUGUUCCAUAGCAAAUAUGACACAGUUCAUAGCACUGUUCCAUAACACAUUCAUAUCAAAUACCACACAGAGUAUACCAAAUGCCCAUAGCGAGCUAGUCCAUAGCAAAUAUAAGAGUACAAAGUUUUCCAUAGCAAGAGUACAAAGUUUUCCAUAGCAAAUGAACAAAGCAGGCAUCAGUACGUAAAAUUUGGCACUACAACAAAUGUCUUCAUGUCCAUAUCAUAGUCCAAAGAGCAUCUGUGUGGCAACCUACAAGAUGAAAUCAUCAACAUGUCAAAUUGUGGCAUAAUAAAAAAAGGGCUUUAAAUCAUCAAGAUGCCGAAUAGACAAAAGAAAGUACUUGAAGACCUGUCCAAUUUUGAACAUGUCAAUUUAACAUUCUAGAUCAUGAAGAUCUUCAAGAAUGGUCUCUAAAUCAUGAAAACAAAUAGCUACUUGUUUCUACUUAUAAGAUUGAUUCAUUUUAACACUGUAAAUCAUGAAUAUCUUCGAGUGCUCUCUAAAUCAUGAAUAAAAAUAGCUUCAACUGGUCUCUAAAUCAUGAAAAUAAAUAGCUUCAAUAAUGCAUAUAGCUACUUAAGAUCAUGGUUGAAAUGGUUCAAAUCUAUCAUAGUUUCAAAUGGUCUCUACUUGUCUCUAUUAUAAGUUUGAUCUUCAAAUGGUUCAAACGGUCUCUACUUACAAGUUUCUAAAUCAUGGAGAUCAUCAAAUGGUCUCUGAAUCAUAAAAAUAAAUAGCUAUGUGUCUCGAAUUAUAAGACUGAUUCAACUUAACACUCUAAAUCAUGAAUAAAAAUAGCUUCAAGUGGUCUCUAAAUCAUGAAAAUAAAUGGUCUCUACUUGUUUCUACUUAAAAAUUUGAUCUUCAAAUGGUUCGAAUGGUCUCUACUUGCAAGAUUCUAAAUCAUGGAGAUCUUCAAAUGGUGUCUAAAUCUUGAAAAUAAAUAGCUACUUGUCUCUAAAUCAUGAAUAUCUUCAAAUGGUCUCUAAAUCAUGAAUAUCUUCAAAUGGUCUCUAAAUCAUGAAAGUCAUGGAGAUAUGUAGGCACUAACCAUACUCGAUCUCAAAGAUUUGGAGAACCACCAUGGUCAUUGGCGUUUGGGCCUGAUGCAUGUGAACAUCCAUCAUUAUUUGAGCCAUGGCCUGAUUGAUACUGCAAAGCAUUACAUGGUUAGCACAAAACUCGGACUAAGAAAUGCAAUAAUGGUGCAUGCAAGUAUUUCAGAUAACUAACCAUAGGGGGUGAAGCAAUGUCAGGCAUCUGCAUAGCGGGCAUACCAUUAUGGGUACAAUAAGCCUGCAAAUUAUGUUUGAGGAGUGAAAGUUAAGUACUGGUAGUAAAAGACUAGAUGUAUGUGCAAGGCUAUUAAGGAACUAACCGCAAACAUUGCAAAGUACUGUUGCAUCCUCUCAUCCGCUAGUCGCCUCUCCUCCGCCCUCUUCUCAUCCGCCGGUCGCCUCUCCUCCGCCAACCUCUCCUCCAACUUCUCAUCUAGCAGUCGCCUCUGCUCCUCCAGUCGAGACUACAGAAUAUGGCAUUGCAAUCACAUCUUCAAAUCCAACACUAAGAAUUAAAAUAAGCAUACAUAGAAGGACUUGGAUAGAAUACCUCCAUCGCAACCAUUGCUGGAGUCGGGCGUUGACAUAUAGAAGAUGUUGAGAUACCUGACCGAGCUUUGUACUCGGGGAGAGUGCGACGGGAGGACCUAGGAUGCUUCAAUUCUACGUUUAUUUCUACAUUUAGCUUGAAGAGUCUUUUGCAUUCUCUCAAGUACAUAGCACCAACGGUUCUGCACAGGGCCACCCAUUCUUACCUCGGAAGGGAGGUGUAAAAUCAUAUGUUCCAUCGGAUUAAAGAAGCCUGGUGGAAAGAUCUUCUCUAGCUUGCAGAGCAACUCGGGGGCCUGUUUUUCCAUGUCAUCUAUCACGGUAGGAGAUACUUCUUUAGCACAAAGAACACAGAAGAAAUAGCUAAGCUCUGCCAAUACUUCCCAAUCAUCCUCAGGGAUAUAGCCUCGAAUCAUCACAGGCAUUAACCGCUCAAGCCAUAUGUGCCAAUCAUGACUCUUCAACCCACAGAGCUUCAAUUUAACAAGAUUCACUGCCCUCAUUAGAUUCGCUGCAUACCCAUCAGGGAACGACAUAGUUUUGAACCACAUGAGUAUCUCCUUCUUUUGUUCCCUUGUAAGAACAAACCUAACCCGUGGCAUUGUCCAAUUUUUCCGGCCCGCGGGUUGCCGCAAGUUUUGUUUGGGUCUAUCACAUAGCUUCAUCAGAUCAAGUCUGGACUUAGUAUUAUCCUUCGUCAUCUUGGGAAUGUUGAACAAUGUGCCAAAAAUGGCCUCGGCAAUAUUCUUUUCAGUGUGCAUUACAUCAAUGUUAUGGGGAAGCUCGAGCUGGUGGAAGUAGGGGAGAUCCCAGAAGCAUGGCUUGUGAGUCCAGGCGUGUAGUUCAUUAUAUCCCAGGAAAUACCCUGGACGGUUGGGAUCGGGCUGGAGAGCAUUUAAUUCAUCACGAAUCUGUUCACCCGUCAUCUCAGGUGGUGCCGAGUGUUCGACAACUUCACCUUUCAUGAAGUUCAUCUUGUCUAGUCUGAAUGGAUGGUCAGGGCGCAAAUGUUGUCUAUGAAAAUCAAAGCAAGAAUACUUGCCACCAUGCUGUAGCCAACGACACUUAAGGCUCGCCUUGCAUCUUGGGCAUGGGAACCUCCCAUGCACAGACCACCCCAUGAAAAGUGAAUAGGCCGGUAGGUCAUUCAAUGAGUACUGGUACCAAACAUGCAUUGUGAAGUUUUUUUUGCUAACAGCGUCGUAUGUCUGUAUCCCAUUCACCCAAGCUUCUUUCAAGUCAUCUAUCAGUGGCUGCAUGUACACAUUUAUAUUCUUCCCCGGAUACUUGGGCCCUGGAACUAUCAACGAUAGGAAUAUGUGCUUGCGUUGCAUCAGGACGCCUGGGGGGAGGUUGAGUGGAACAACAAACACGGGCCAACAACUAUAUGUCUUUGACACCAUACCAAACGGAUUGAACCCGUCAAGUCCGAUGGCGAUUCGUACAUGCUUUUCCUCUUCUACUUUCUGAUGAUGUAUUCGAUCGAAACUCUUCCAUGCUUGGCCACAAGACGCAUGUACCAUCGUCGGCCUCCCAUGAUCAUCCUUGUCAGGUCUUUUCCCAUAUUUGUGCCAUGUCAUCGUUUUGGUCGUAUCUUCGGUCAAGAAAAGUCGUUGAACUCUUGGCAAGAUUGGAAGAUACCGAAGAACAUUUGCAGGGACUUUGCUCUGCUUCUUCACACCAUCACCGAGGUCUCUCUCAACAUACCUAGAGGCUUUGCACUUGGCACAGUACUUGUCGUCGGCAUACUCUUUUGUAAAUAAGAGACAUCCGUUUGGACAAGCAUGUAUCUACUCAUAGGGCAUCUUAAGUGCACGGAGGAUUUUCUUUGCUUCGUACCAACUUUUAGCCAUUUUGUGACCUUCAGGGAGAGAGCUACCCCAAGCGGUCAUCAUCGAAUCAAAGCAAUCUCUGCUCAUGUUGAACUGGGACUUCAGAGACAUUGCUUGUGCGAUGGUAUCCAGCUAACACUGUAUCGUGUACUCGUGAAGAGGUUGUUGUGACGAAUUCAGCAUUUCUAGGUAAGCCCUCGCGGACUCCUCCGGUUCUUCCUCUGAUCCCUCUUCACGUGCAUCGUUGAAGUCAGCUACCAUGUCAGCGAUCCCGGUACCAUUGUCAUCGGUGCGCCGACGAACCACCUCCUCUCUGCUACAUUCAGGCUCGCCAUGAAAGGUCCACUGAGUAUACCCAGUCUUAAGCCCGUGCUUCUGUAGGUGUUUACCCAUCAUCUUCUUCGACUGUUCUAUAUCGUUCUUGCACUUCAAGCAGGGGCACCAACUUUUUCUCUUGCCACUAGCAAAUGCUGCCUCCACAAAUUCAUUGGUCUUCAUCACCCAUUCAACGGUCAUGCCGUCCGGACUAGGGUGGCCAGUGUACAUCCACGCACGAUCACCCAUACUUGCACUAACAGUAGAUACACCAAAUUUAUAUUCAUCAAGUUAUGUAAAAUGUAAUUGCGAAUAGAUACACAAGUAAUUACUUUUGUCAUAUUAUUUACGCCUUAGUUUUAUUUUUUACCAUACAAAAGAGAAACAUGCAUUCAUGGGUUGAAUCCUAUCUCUAAUAGGUAAAGAUGGGUCCUAAUCCCACCCGAGUACGUGUAGAUUGGGUUCGUUUCCCGUGCUCUACUCCGGUCUGAGGCAAAAUUUCGGCAGCACCUCCCCGCUGUUCUCUAGAUACACGUCUCGGCAACAAGCCGAGAGAAUAUGUACCCGGAGAACAAUGGGGAGGCGCUGACGAAAUUUUGCCUCGGACCGAAGUAGAGCACGGGAAACGAAACCCAAUCUACACGUACUCGGGCUGUCCAUGGAUAACAUAGACAAUUCGAAAGGACGACGGUUAUAAAUAUGCAAAUACAUGCAUAUUUAUAAAUGUCACCCUUUCGAACGGGAGACGCCUAGGUUACGCGACUUAACAUGAAAAUAAAAUCUAGUGGCAUUGGCACGACGACCGGAACAGAGUAAAUAGGGGGAGUGGGGAUGACAGUCGAGCUCACCCCUAGAUGAUCCGUAGAGGAGGUAGUAGACAGCGAUGGCGACGGCAACAUGACCAAUAGUGCUCCUGGAGGUGAAAAGAUUGAUCCCUACACAUCAAAGCACCAACACAACCAACAUAAGCACUCACAGAAAAUUUGAACAGAAACAAAGAUGAACAAGUAUAAAGAAAGGAUGCAUCAAUCUUCUUCAUAUAAUUGGUUUACCUGCAGAUCUUAUGGACAAGCAUUUGAACAAAGGCAACACUCCUAAAACCAAAGAUAUACAAUAUCUACAUUUUAGUUACAAUAUGGAUCAGAUUUACCUAUAUUUAAUCCACAUCAUUACUGUAAAUGUACUAUGGCAGUAAGCAUGAAAUCCUUGUCGCCAUUAAUUACUUUAUAUGGUAGGCAAAAAUGUUACAGAUACAAUUUUCACUUGAACUUUUGACAUACUCUGAUUGCUCAAACAAGAUUUCCUUUAGUUAUAACAACAAUACUAUUUCCAUGCUAACAAUCAUCAACAGAACUAGAUUACAGAUUCUUUUUCCCCAUCUCAUCAUGCUAAGGAGCGCAAAAUCAUCAACAUAACAGAAUAUAUAACAAAUGCGUGUAGCCAAAAUGAGCACAUACUAUUUUCUCCAAUUACAACAUCCAUUCAUCCAUCCAUUGAUCAAUACAUCCAUCCAUGCAGCCAUGCAUCCAUCCAUCUGGGGCAGAGAGGGGUAGGUAGGAGAAGGAAUGCUCACCGUGGGGGUAGAUGGGGCAGAGGGGGAGAUGGUGUCCGGCGGCCGUGCAGCUGCCUCUCCUUUGCAGUCCAGCAGCGACGAAGGUGGUGCCCUGCAGCAGUGCUGCCCUGCG
This 5551-nucleotide long non-coding RNA is filed under the name Triticum aestivum (bread wheat). RNAcentral describes it as "long non-coding RNA (TAES_LNC010592)". The record is from RNAcentral. Lineage: Eukaryota; Viridiplantae; Streptophyta; Magnoliopsida; Poales; Poaceae.